GCGAGAUCUGUGUACAGAACAACAGGUACGUCUGAGUGGAUCUCCAGUCUGUGGAGCCCCGCGUAUCCUUCCCAGCGUGGCAUGGAGUGCACACAAUACGGGGCCAUCACGGCGACCCCUCACAUUCCCUCGAGACGCCGAGGCUGCACAGAAACACCCAUAAUUAGCAACAAUGGUGAGAAUGGGAAGAUACUGUAAGAGUCUCCCAGGUGCCGCGGCGCGCCUUUCCUACAGGUCACUGGUGCCUCAGGACGGCCGCUGAGUGGUUGUCUUGGUCCAGGAGGAAACCUUUGUCCUGAUCUGUAUUGGCGGCGGCGGAUGGUGUGUUAUGUGUGUGGAGAGAGAGAGAGAGAGAGAGAGAGAGAGAGAGAGAGAGAGAGAGAGAGUUCAUCAGUCAUGGCGUCAUCGCAUCUCAUGCCAAAAGAAAAAUGUAAUUAGCGGAGGGGAAUGCAUCGGUUCACUUGUUAUUUCAGGCGGUUCACUCGCUAUUUCAGGCGGCGCAGUUCCCGAGACGGAGAAACAUUACCAUGAGUCUUGGGGACGAGAGAAGUAGACGAGCCUGGCGGGGAUCUUGCCUGCUGAUUGUUGUCUGUCAGAUCUGAAGAACGUGCAGGGCCAUUAAGUGAUGACUGAUGCCAUUUAGAAACAAGUGCGCCUAACGUAGUAAGUGAAAGAGGAGCUAAGCAACGACGGAUGGAGGGAGAAAGCGGUGCAUCAGAACUGUUGUGGCCGAGGAAGUUUAAGGCUCUAGCUUCCUUGCUUGAAGCCGACAGUGCACAAAGGCGUGUACAAACAUGCGAUAUCUGAAGUGUUUCAAAGGCAAGGAAAAUAUAAAGACGCCUUCAAUCAAAUAAGAGAGGCUGCUUCAUGCGGGGCUUCGUUCUGUCCGGACCUGAUCGGUGGUGGGCAUGCGCAAUGAGGCAGUGAGAUGACCUUGGCCUAGACCCUCUUGGGAGUAUAAACGACUGGAAUCCCUACAACAGUGAGGGAGAGAAGGUUCAGAUUGUAGGAUCUAUGGAUAAUGAUGAUCUUUUGUUUCGUUUAUCAAGACUGGCUUUCCAUCGGUUUCCAUGCCGGUGUGGUGAGGCGAGCGGAGUCCAGUGUGUCCUGUGUGGCGGCGAUGGCGUUGUUGGAAUACUGUUAUCGUGCUUCUGGCGCCAAAUGCGAUGCUUGUUUUGACUGACCAGCUAAACACGAACUUACUGAUGUGCGCGAAGUCCGCCAAGAGUGAUGAGAUGAAGGAAAACUUGUGUUGAGGUGUGUGCUUCAUCACGAGGCGUCCAUGAUGGGGGGAGGAAAUGGUUGGUGUGCGUUAGAACAGCUGGUGUUUGUUUGAUCUGCUGUUCGUGAACUGAUAAGUGGUGGUCCACACAGUUUAAUGCACAGGUGGAUUCUGUGGACAAUGCUAUUAACUAGCGGACGCUGUGGUGCUGCCGGGAAGUGUUGUCAUACUGUGGUGCUGCAGGCAAGUGUUUUCAUACUGUGGUGCUGCCGGCAAGUGUUGUCAUACUGUGGUGCUGCCGGCAAGUGUUGUCAUACUGUGGUGCUGCCGGCAAGUGUUUUCAUACUGUGGUGCUGCCGGCAAGUGUUGUCAUACUGUGGUGCUGCCGGCAAGUGUUGUCAUACUGUGGUGCUGCCGGGAAGUGCUGUCAUACUGUGGUGCUGCCAGGAAGUGUUAUCAUACUGUGGUGCUGCCGGGAAGUGCUGUCAUACUGUGGUGGUGCCAGAAAGUGCUGUCAUACUGUGGUGCUGCCGGGAAGUGCUGUCAUACUGUGGUGGUGCCAGAAACUUCGGGAAGUGUUAAUAUAAUUAUGAUACUGAGGUGCCGCCGAAAGGUGUUUUGAUACUGCGGAUGUGUGGUGAGGGCAGUGGUGAGAGCAGCCUCAGUGUCAUCCUCCCCAACAUGUACACGAUGACUGGGACAGGAAGGACAGUACUCAGUGUUGUGAAUCCCACAUGGACUUGGUAAGUGAAGGAAGCGUGGGUGUCAGGCCUCUUGUCCAAAAUUUUUCGCUGGAUUGUGAAGUGGAGUCUGUCAUCAAGAGAAGGUUCCCAUGAGGAAGAAAAGCUCAGCCAAUAUUUGCCUUCAGGCCACGAAGCUUUGAUCUUCUAACAAGGUCACUCCCGCCUCGCGCCUUCCACUCGCCUGUCGGAGCCCGCACACUGCUAUCUUGGAGUCUGCAUAUCCGUGUAUGGCCGUCGCCAGAGAGAGAGAGAGGUCAGGAAGAGAACAGAGACGACACGCCCGCACAGUUACCUCAUCACUGCCACGCUCUGCUCCUCUGAGCGAAACUUCCUGUCCUGGCGCCUCACUCUCGAGCUUCUGUCCUGUGGAGAAGAGCAACAUAGCAAGGCGUGGAAAAGCCUUUCCGUCACGUCCAGAGGGCUCUCAACAGUGCCGGGAUUCAGACGAGCUGCGCGCCACCUCCAAAUAUUUGCCUCAUAACAAUAACAUGAAUAAUGGAAAAUGAUAAUGUCUGACCAAUAUUUUUCCUCGAGUCGUGGAGUUCUCUGACCAUCGCUAGCCAGAAUAGAGAGUUCACCAAGUUACGGGACAGCUCACCACUCUAACAGACAUCUCGCCACUCUAAUAUACUGCUCACUACUCUUAUAAGCACUGCACCUAUCUCCUACACUGCUCACUACUCUUCUAGACAACUCAUCACUCUAGUACUACCAUUUUGUCUCCUGUUGAUAGUUUUGUCAGGUCUAUAAGGAGGAGAAUCAAGAUAAAGCUGAACUAAACUGGUGAGCGUCAUUUGAGUUUUAGGAAGUGCUAGUUAAGAUAGCUUAUUGAUUUAUACUUUUUGCCUUUGGUCAGUCUCCCCGACAUGUUAGUAAAUAGAUUAAUGCAUAAAUAGAAAAUAUAUA
Scylla paramamosain (green mud crab) is the source of this 2871-nucleotide RNA transcript. RefSeq lists it as uncharacterized. NCBI's taxonomy places the organism in Eukaryota, Metazoa, Arthropoda, Malacostraca, Decapoda, Portunidae. The transcript is spliced from 4 exons. The record is from RefSeq and is a predicted model, not a curated record.